RNAcentral lists this ribosomal RNA (485 nucleotides) under uncultured bacterium. Its description in RNAcentral is "partial 16S ribosomal RNA". It matches the Rfam family "Bacterial small subunit ribosomal RNA", at positions 30 to 507 of the family's 1533-position model. The record is from RNAcentral.
AUUGAACGCUGGCGGCAUGCCUUACACAUGCAAGUCGAACGGCAGCACGGGUGCUUGCACCUGGUGGCGAGUGGCGAACGGGUGAGUAAUACAUCGGAACAUGUCCUGUAGUGGGGGAUAGCCCGGCGAAAGCCGGAUUAAUACCGCAUACGAUCUACGGAUGAAAGCGGGGGACCUUCGGCCUUGCGCUAGAGGGUUGGCCGAUGGCGGAUUAGCUAGUUGGUGGGGUAAAGGCCUACCAAGGCGACGAUCAGUAGCUGGUCUGAGAGGACGACCAGCCACACUGGGACUGAGACACGGCCCAGACUCCUACGGGAGGCAGCAGUGGGGAAUUUUGGACAAUGGGCGAAAGCCUGAUCCAGCAAUGCCGCGUGUGUGAAGAAGGCCUUCGGGUUGUAAAGCACUUUUGUCCGGAAAGAAAUCCUUGGCCCUAAUACGGUCGGGGGAUGACGGUACCGGAAGAAUAAGCACCGGCUAACUACGUG